CAAGUCGAACGGCAGCGCGGGAGCAAUCCUGGCGGCGAGUGGCGAACGGGUGAGUAAUAUAUCGGAACGUGCCCAGUAGUGGGGGAUAGCCCGGCGAAAGCCGGAUUAAUACCGCAUACGACCUGAGGGUGAAAGCGGGGGAUCGCAAGACCUCGCGCUACUGGAGCGGCCGAUAUCAGAUUAGCUAGUUGGUGGGGUAAAGGCCUACCAAGGCAACGAUCUGUAGUUGGUCUGAGAGGACGACCAGCCACACUGGGACUGAGACACGGCCCAGACUCCUACGGGAGGCAGCAGUGGGGAAUUUUGGACAAUGGGCGCAAGCCUGAUCCAGCAAUGCCGCGUGCAGGAAGAAGGCCUUCGGGUUGUAAACUGCUUUUGUCAGGGAAGAAAUCUUCUGGGCUAAUACCCCGGGAGGAUGACGGUACCUGAAGAAUAAGCACCGGCUAACUACGUGCCAGCAGCCGCGGUAAUACGUAGGGUGCGAGCGUUAAUCGGAAUUACUGGGCGUAAAGCGUGCGCAGGCGGCUUUGCAAGACAGAGGUGAAAUCCCCGGGCUCAACCUGGGAACUGCCUUUGUGACUGCAAGGCUAGAGUACGGCAGAGGGGGAUGGAAUUCCGCGUGUAGCAGUGAAAUGCGUAGAUAUGCGGAGG
This 651-nucleotide ribosomal RNA is filed under the name uncultured beta proteobacterium. RNAcentral's name for it is "bacterial SSU rRNA". It matches the Rfam family "Bacterial small subunit ribosomal RNA", at positions 58 to 704 of the family's 1533-position model. Lineage: Bacteria; Pseudomonadati; Pseudomonadota; Betaproteobacteria. The record is from RNAcentral.